AACGAACGCUGGCGGCGCGUCUUAACAUGCAAGUCGAACGAUCUGUAGCAAUACAGGGAGUGGCGGACGGGUGAGGAACACGUAGGAAUCUACCUUGAAGAGCGGGACAACUUUGGGAAACCGGGGCUAAUACCGCAUAGUACAGAGAUGUUAAAGGGCUAGCAAUAGUCGCUUCGAGAUGAGCCUGCGGUCUAUCAGCUUGUUGGUGAGGUAAUGGCUCACCAAGGCUACGACGGAUAGCCGGUCUGAGAGGAUGAUCGGCCACACUGGCACUGAGACACGGGCCAGACUCCUACGGGAGGCAGCAGUCAAGAAUCUUGCGCAAUGGGGGAAACCCUGACGCAGCGACGCCGCGUGAAGGAUGAAGGCUUUCGGGUUGUAAACUUCGGUAGACUGGGAAGAAGAAAUACGUUCGUUGAGGGCGUAUAGUGACGGUACCAGUCUGAAGCCCCGGCUAAUUACGUGCCAGCAGCCGCGGUAAU
RNAcentral lists this ribosomal RNA (482 nucleotides) under uncultured bacterium. RNAcentral's name for it is "bacterial SSU rRNA". It matches the Rfam family "Bacterial small subunit ribosomal RNA", at positions 29 to 524 of the family's 1533-position model. The record is from RNAcentral.